Molecule: long non-coding RNA, 210 nt
Organism: Sphaeramia orbicularis (orbiculate cardinalfish)
Lineage: Eukaryota; Metazoa; Chordata; Actinopteri; Kurtiformes; Apogonidae
Exons: 3
Source: RefSeq, a predicted model, not a curated record
AUGAUCCUCAUUAUACUGGGGAGAGUCCAAAAAUUCUCAGACAAAUGUAAUAAAAAAGUUUAUUUAUCAAAAUAACAAAAUCAUUUUUCCACAUAAGCUCCAUUAGAGUCUAAACACUUUUGUAAUCUAUGUUUCCCUCGGUAGAUUCCGUCUUUGUAGAAUUGCUGGCUCUGUCUUUGACACAGUUUUUGCCUUUGACAUUUGUUUGAG